This 452-nucleotide ribosomal RNA is filed under the name uncultured Bacteroidales bacterium. Its description in RNAcentral is "bacterial SSU rRNA". It matches the Rfam family "Bacterial small subunit ribosomal RNA", at positions 342 to 791 of the family's 1533-position model. Lineage: Bacteria; Pseudomonadati; Bacteroidota; Bacteroidia; Bacteroidales. The record is from RNAcentral.
CGGGGGGCAGCAGUGAGGAAUAUUGGACAAUGGAUGGAAAUCUGAUCCAGCCAUGCCGCGUGCAGGAAGACGGCCCUAUGGGUUGUAAACUGCUUUUAUACGGGAGCAAUAAGGACUAUGCGUAGUUUGAUGAGAGUACCGUAUGAAUAAGCACCGGCUAACUCCGUGCCAGCAGCCGCGGUAAUACGGAGGGUGCAAGCGUUAUCCGGAUUUAUUGGGUUUAAAGGGUGCGUAGGCGGUUUAUUAAGUCAGCGGUGAAAGUUUUCAGCUUAACUGGAAAAAUGCCGUUGAUACUGAUAAGCUGGAAUAUGGUUGCUGUGGGUGGAAUGUGUGGUGUAGCGGUGAAAUGCUUAGAGAUCACACAGAAUAUCGAUUGCGAAGGCAGCUCACAAAGCCAUUAUUGACGCUGAUGCACGAAAGUGUGGGGAUCAAACAGGAUUAGAUACCCGAGU